AUGGGUGCCCGGGCUAUAACGGCUAACUAUAUUAAUGCAUACUUUCCAAAGGCAACUAGUAAAACACGGGGUUGGAGCAGACCGCCUAUGGGUUUUGUUAAACUUAAUGUUGACGCCUCUUUUGACCAUGAUUUACUUAGGGGCACAGUUGGGGCUAGUCUCAUAGAUGAUAAUGGAAGAUUCAUCAUUGGUGGAAACUGGAGGAUUGAUUGGUGUGCUGGUGUAUUAACAGCAGAAGCAUUGGCUCUAAGGUUUGGCCUAUUCCUAGCACAAAAGGCGGGGUGCAAUCGUCUUGUUGUUAACUCUGACAAUAUGGUGGUGAUUGAAAUAAUGAAGAACGGGGGACAUUCGGCUCGGCGGGACCGGCGGCAAUAG
Molecule: ribosomal RNA, 375 nt
Filed under: Triticum aestivum (bread wheat)
Lineage: Eukaryota; Viridiplantae; Streptophyta; Magnoliopsida; Poales; Poaceae
Description: partial small subunit ribosomal RNA
Source: RNAcentral